Molecule: ribosomal RNA, 253 nt
Filed under: uncultured bacterium
Lineage: Bacteria
Description: partial 16S ribosomal RNA
Rfam family: Bacterial small subunit ribosomal RNA
Source: RNAcentral
UACGUAGGGGGCAAGCGUUGUCCGGAUUUAUUGGGCGUAAAGAGCGUGUAGGCGGCCUGACAGGUCUGCUGUGAAAACUCGAGGCUCAACCUCGAGAUGUCGGCGGAAACCGUCUGGCUAGAGUCCGGAAGAGGAGAGUGGAAUUCCUGGUGUAGCGGUGAAAUGCGCAGAUAUCAGGAAGAACACCUAUGGCGAAGGCGGGUCUCUGGGCAAUUCCUGACGCUGAGGCGCGAAAGCGUGGGGAGCAAACGGG